RNAcentral lists this ribosomal RNA (601 nucleotides) under Drechslera sp. bc_besc_80d. RNAcentral's name for it is "eukaryotic LSU rRNA". The stretch from base 239 to 392 matches the Rfam family "5.8S ribosomal RNA". Lineage: Eukaryota; Fungi; Ascomycota; Dothideomycetes; Pleosporales; Pleosporaceae. The record is from RNAcentral.
GGAUCAUUACACAAUAUGCAAGCGGGCUGGGAUCCCCGGGAGGGCGUCUAUUCUGCCGUUUCCGCCGCAUCUGCGGUGCUGAAGCGACAGGGCGGGCGUCUUUUCGGCCAGCCUGACUCCAUAUUCACCCAUGUCUUUUGCGUACUACUUGUUUCCUUGGUGGGUUCGCCCACCAACAGGACCAUUUAAACCUUUUUGUAAUUGCAAUCAGCGUCAGCAAAACAAUGUAAUAAAUUACAACUUUCAACAACGGAUCUCUUGGUUCUGGCAUCGAUGAAGAACGCAGCGAAAUGCGAUAAGUAGUGUGAAUUGCAGAAUUCAGUGAAUCAUCGAAUCUUUGAACGCACAUUGCGCCCUUUGGUAUUCCAAAGGGCAUGCCUGUUCGAGCGUCAUUUGUACCCUCAAGCUUUGCUUGGUGUUGGGCGUUUUUGUCUCUGGUCCGCCAGCGACUCGCCUUAAAAUCAUUGGCAGCCGGCCUACUGGUUUCGGAGCGCAGCACAAAUUUGCGCUUCUUCCAGCAGCGGUCCGCGUCCAUGAAGCCACUUUUUCAACGUUUGACCUCGGAUCAGGUAGGGAUACCCGCUGAACUUAAGCAUAUCAA